CAGCUGUGUGCGCCUGGACAUCUGGAGCUCAGCUCCGCCCUGGCGCCACGGGAAAGCUGUCUCCAAGUGGAGACUAAUCCCUGAAAGGGAUCCUCACGGUCAGCUCUUUCUCCGGAAGGCUCCAAGAGGAGCCCUGGUUCCCCAGGUACAUGGAGUCUCCUUUCUCCUGGUUCUGCCAUGCCCGCCAGCAGACACACCACACAGACAAGGACCAAGACGACUGCUUGCUCAGUUCUCACAGCUCUGCCAGCAGCUGUCAUGGGUCAUGCCCAGAUGGGGGUACUCCUUCUCAGGGAGUCAGGUUACUCGCCCAGGAUCAGACAGACAGAAGGUUCAACGGCCGGUUCACUGCAGAGAGAGUGGGGAGGGAGUGAGCUCGGGAUACCCUUCCAUUCCCGCCACGACUACCCGGCCCAGACCUCGCCCCUCCCCAAGCUUCAUCCUCCUGAGGAUCCUGCCUUUCCCUCUCUCCGGGAGUCUCACCUA
Molecule: long non-coding RNA, 486 nt
Organism: Bubalus bubalis (water buffalo)
Lineage: Eukaryota; Metazoa; Chordata; Mammalia; Artiodactyla; Bovidae
Exons: 3
Source: RefSeq, a predicted model, not a curated record